Molecule: non-coding RNA, 417 nt
Organism: Cinara cedri
Lineage: Eukaryota; Metazoa; Arthropoda; Insecta; Hemiptera; Aphididae
Source: the annotation of a GenBank genome assembly
AUCUAUUCGUCUUGGCUACAGAGAACUAUUUCAUUAUUAUUAAUACAAAUUAUUAAAUGAAAUUCUCUUAUGUCAUCUGCGUAUCACAAUCCCAACACGAUCCAUUAAUAAAGAAUCUCUACUGAUAAAAUAUACCCGACAACCCUAGAGACGACCAAAAGGAAGUAAUGUCGUCAUUUAUUACUUAAUUAAUUUAUAUAAAAAAACAAAACAAAACCCAAUAGUCAACUGUAAUAUAGUCUUAGAAUAGUGUCACUAAGGUUGGCUUCAAAAAUCAAGUAAUAUUCGUGUGUACAUUCUGUUCACACAUACUUAUUUAGCUGUGUUUGUGCAGAUUGUGCAUUGGCCCAGUCCGCGUUCGUCGACUUGCGGAUCGGGCCAGUUCGACAAUGGUCCAAUCCAUUUAAUUGUUUCUAA